CCCUUAGAUGUUCUGGGCCGCACGCGCGCUACACUGAUGCAUUCAACGAGUUUCUUCCUGGUCCGAGAGGAAUGGGUAACCUUUUGAAAGUGCAUCGUGAUAGGGAUAGACUAUUGCAAUUAUUGGUCUUCAACGAGGAAUUCCUAGUAGACGUAGUUCAUCAGACUGCAUCGAUUACGUCCCUGCCCUUUGUACACACCGCUCGUCGCUCCUACCGAUUGAAUGCUCAGGUGAGCCAUUCGGACUUUCAUCAUGCUGGUUUCCAGUUUUGAUGAAGGAAAGUCUUGCGAACCUUAUCAUUUAGAGGAAGGAGAAGUCGUAACA
Molecule: ribosomal RNA, 324 nt
Filed under: uncultured eukaryote
Lineage: Eukaryota
Description: partial 18S ribosomal RNA
Rfam family: Eukaryotic small subunit ribosomal RNA
Source: RNAcentral